Long non-coding RNA from Piliocolobus tephrosceles (Ugandan red Colobus), 2163 nucleotides. The record is from Ensembl. NCBI's taxonomy places the organism in Eukaryota, Metazoa, Chordata, Mammalia, Primates, Cercopithecidae.
UGAUGAAAAUUUUAGUUUUUGUGAUGGCUUUCUAUCACAACAUGCUGACGAUGAUGUUGAAAUUUGUUGUUGUUUGAAAGAAAAUGAAUUAAAACAGGAAGUUAAAAAUAACAUUCAAUCUUUAAGUAAAAAUGUGGAAAUACAUUAUGGAAUUAACCCAGUUCAGUUAAAGUCUAAAUUUGCACCUAAUUCGUUUGACAUAUUGUAUUAUAUUUUACCCGGCCUAUCUUUUCAUGGAUAUCCUGAUUUUAUUGAUCCACAAACUGAAAUGUUUAAAUUACGUUUGAAUUUAUUUUGUUUUAGUUUUUUAAAAAGUAGUAAAAAUAUAAUUAAACCAGAUGGAUAUGUUUAUUUAUUAUUACCUGAAGAAACUAACGAACAGGUUAAUGGUGACGACCAUAUUAACAAUUACUCUGAUAAUGAGAGUGAUAAUCGUAGUAAUUAUGAAACUAACCAUAACAAUAAUAGUUGUAAGAGAAAUGACAAUGAAAGUGUAAAUGAAAAUGUAAAUGUAAAUGUAAAUGUAAAUGAAAAUGUAAAUGAAAAUGUAAAUGAAAAUGUAAAUGAAAAUGAAAAUGUAAAUGAAAAUGUAAAUGAAAAUGUAAAUGAAAAUGUAAAUGAAAAUGUAAAUGAAAAUGUAAAUGAAAAUGAAGGUUAUAAUGACGGUCAAGAAGAUGACAAAAAUGAUGAAAAUAAUGUUUUGUCAAAAGAAAAAAAUUUAAAAUAUUCAAAAAAAAAAAUGUUACCGUUUUUACCUAUCGAAACACAUAAAUUAGCAAAGUUUUGUAAUGUUAUAAGAGAUUAUGAAAAAGAUUAUAAUUUAAACUUGUCUGUACAUAGUCAAUGGUUACCUGUUUUAUUUAAUAUGCCAAUUGUUAAUAAAUUACCACAUUGGGUUAAAAAAUGUAAAUAUUGUUGUUUCAAAAUGACUGAGUUGAAUAAUAUUCAAAAUAGUAAAGAAAGCAUCACUUCUUUUUUAUCUAAUCAUCAAGAAAAUGAAAAACAAACGGAAGAUAAAACAGAAAAUAAAAUAGAGGAUAAAAUAGAGGAUAAAAUAGAGGGUGAUAUUAAGAAAGGUAAGAAUAAUAAUAGUAAUGAAAAUAUUGAUGAAAAAGAUGAAACGAAUAAUGAACGUGAUAAAAAACAGGAUGAUGGUGAUGGUGAUGAUGUAGAAAAUAAUAAUAAAAAUGAUAAAAAUGACAAAAAUGAUAAAAAUGAUAUGAACGAAUAUAAUGACUCAAAUGUUGAUGGAAAUAAUGAUAACGAAAAAAAUACAGAUGUUGAAGAAAAAGAAAAUGAUAAAGAUAANNNNNNNNNNNNNNNNNNNNNNNNNNNNNNNNNNNNNNNNNNNNNNNNNNNNNNNNNNNNNNNNNNNNNNNNNNNNNNNNNNNNNNNNNNNNNNNNNNNNUGCUUUUUAUUUAAACUUUAUUCUAUUAAUAGUAAAAGUAUUUUAAUUUCAAGACUAACAUUAAAAUAUGAUCCUAGAAUAUCAGGAUGGAAAGGAGAUAAUAAAAUUAAAAAAGAUAUGAUAAACAAUAUGUCUAUGAAUAUGAACAAUAUGUCUAUGAAUAUGAAUAAUAUUUCGAUGAAUAUGAAUAAUAUGCCUAUGAAUAUGAAUAUAAUGAAAAAUAUGAACAUGAUGAACAUGCAUAAAUAUAAAGGUGGUAAAUACAAAAAUAAUAAAUCAGGUAAAGAUGAUUAUCAACAACAAUACAAAAAUAAUUUAAAUUAUGGAAUGAAUAAAAAAGGAAAUAUUAAUAUGCCUCCACCACCUCCUAACAAUAUGAAUAUGCAACAAAAUAAUGUAGGGGUUAUGCAAAAUCAAAAUAUGAAUUACAAACAAAAUAAUUUCCCUUAUGUUAAUAAUUUUAAAUGUAUGGCAAAUAAUUUAUCACAAAAUGUACCUAAUGUUAUAUCUAAUAUUCCUAUGGCAGUUAAUCCAAAUAUUGCAAGUAUGACAAACAUGGCCAACAUAACAAAUAUGGCAGCUGGAAUGACAGGCAUGACAAACAAUAUGAUGAAUCCAUACAUGAAUGGCACAUAUAACCCUAAUUAUCGAAACAAUAUGUAUGACCAAAAUAUUCCUAUUCCACCUCCCAUGAAUAAUUUUAACAAAAAGUAAAAAAAAAAAAAAAUAAAAAAAAUAAAUAAAAAGGACCCCCA